Molecule: long non-coding RNA, 5889 nt
Filed under: Sus scrofa (pig)
Lineage: Eukaryota; Metazoa; Chordata; Mammalia; Artiodactyla; Suidae
Description: lncRNA (ENSSSCG00035036689.1)
Source: RNAcentral
CUUUUUUUUUUUUUUUUUUUUUUUUGUCUUUGUCCUUUUAGGGCCGCACCGGUGGCAUAUGGUGGUUCCCAGGCUGGGGGAUUCUAAUCAGAGCUAUUGCUGCCAGCGUACGCCAGAGCCACAGCAACACCAGAUCCGAGCCGCAUCUGCAGCCUACAUCACAGCUCAUGGCAAUGCCAGAUCCUUAACCCACUAAGCAAGGCCAGAGAUCGAACCCGCAAUCUCAUGGUUCCUAGUUGGAUUUGCUUCUGCUGCGCCACAAGGGGUACUCUGGUGCUACCAUUUUAAUCAUUAUAUUAUAACAGGAAUAUGUGAUUAUUACAGACUAUAUUGAACAGCCCUCCACCUAAUAUCACAACUCCAAGCAGUUAACGAGAAGCUGAAACUUAAACAAACAUAAAUACAAGAGAGGACUUUCAUUUUUAGUUUUCUCAGUUUGUCGAUCUGUCUUCAUUAACUCAUUGAACAUAAAUUGGAAUUAUGUACCAAGUGUUACCCAGAAUGCAAAGCAAAAACUGUCCUUAAAGAAAACGUAAAAUCUAGCAGGAAACAUAAGGCAAAUAACUAAAUAACAAAUGUAAAUGCAGGAAAUACUAAGGCUUUUAGAGAGUAUGUGCUGUGAUACUGCAGAAAAAGGAAAAAUGACUUCCAGCUGAGGACAGCAAAGCCUGCUUCACAGAGGAGGUAACAAUUGAGAUGGGUCUCUCCUGAGGAAUGAGUAGGUUCCGAGUAAGUAAAGUGAAAGUAAUGGGAAAGGGCACAGAGUUUGUUUGCAACAACGGUUUCCCUGCUUUUGAAUCUUUCAUUACCUUUUGGCAUGGUACGGCUAGCUACUACCAUCUGCUUUGUAGCAUUCUGCGAGGUAAGGAAACAUCUUAACUUUUCAUUUCUUUGGCAGUGGUAGUGACAGAAAGGGCGGUCCUAGGCUGCAAAAACCAGGUGUUUCCUUCCCCAUACUGUUGCACAGUCCAAGUAGCACCAGAAAAAGGAAUAUAACCUUAAUAUGGUUUUACCAUAAUUCUUUGGGAGCAACUGGUCUUACCACAUUUGGUAAAUAUGCUUUAUUUAAAAUGUUAAUUUAAGAAGUUCCCUGGUGGCCUAGUGAUUAAGGAUUUACCACUGUCACUGCAGCUAGGGUUCAAUCCCAGGCCCGGGAAUUUUCACAGGUUGUAGAUGUGGCCAAGAAAACAAAAAAUCAAAUGUUAGUUUACAUUUGUGCUUUAGUAAUAAACCAUGUUUAAGAGAACUAUAGAAAAGACUGUAUACCUGUAUAUAACUUGACUUUCUUUUCAAGUGUUUUCUUCUAUUACCAUUUAGGUGAAAAUAUAAUGCAAUGGUUAAAAAACAACAACAACAAAAAAAAAAAAAACACAAAAAAAACCCACGAACUCUUAACUGCCAAAAUAGUCUUUUCACAAAUCCAUGCAAACCAAAACUAAAGACAGCAGGACCAAUACUAUCCAAAAGCAAGAUAAACAGUGCUUUAAGACAGCUGUCGGAGCUAAAAGACCUGGAGCUAAAAGGUCACUAACUGGGAAUCUUAUGUGAGUCUGUAGUUCUCCACCUAAUUCACCUGGUUUUCAGUUUCAUUGAGUUCAACCUCUACCCAGUAUCACAAGUCUGAGCAACGAACAAGAAACCGUAACUUAAAACACACAUAUAAGAAAGCACUUUGGUUUAAUUCCUCUUCCUAACUUGAAUACAGAAUUAAAAAAGAAAAAAGAAAGAGCACACAUCACAAAAUGAACACUAAAUAUACCUACCACUGAUAGAAAAUACAAAACAUAAGUAUUUUACAUUGACAUGUAAACUUACAAAGCUUAUGUGGAAAGAACAAAGACUUCAUUAUAAUACCAUUAAAUAUCAUCACAUUCAAAAUUCUGUUCUGGAUAUUCAUUUUUGGUAAAUGCUUUUCAACUUCUUUCUUGUGCUUUGCUAAGGAUAAUAAGGAUUAUUACUCUCAUUUCAAAGACAUUCCAUGUUACUAAUCGUCUCUUUAAAAUAAAAAUUAGCAACUUAGUUAAAAGGAACUGAAUACUUCAACAUUAUAUAAAAAUAUUGACUGCAAGAAUUCAAUUCUCUUAAAAGAAUCUGGGGGACUUAAUUCGCCACUCUAACCUAACAAUUAAAAAGCUGAACAAACUGAAAAACAACUCUUCUUGGACCCAAGAGAGGUGAGGACCCAAGGCAAACCACUGCCCCCAAGGCUGGAGAAAGAGACUAGGGAAUACACUCAGUCACAACUUACCUCAGCAGAGACUCAUGAGUCAAAACCAUGGGAACCAGUGCCAGAGUAGAAAAACCUCAACUGUAACUGACUGACUUGCAGGAUGCUCAGUGUGGACAAGUCUGAGAGUUAAGAACCCCAGGAGUACCAGUCAUAAGGGGACCCUCACAUUUUCAUUAGUUUUACCUCCAAGAGCAUAAAUAGGUUCCACAGUAAACAUCAGAGGAAAAACCCCUUGUGCUUCCAAGCAGGAGGAGGGGGAGGAAAGGAACCAUUUUGAAAUAAGCCAGAGCACUCUGCUCUUAACAAGACCUGCCCUCAGGGAAAAUUCAUUAACCACAUCCUAACCUGCUGGGAUACUAAGGGCCUAAUUGGCCUGGAAUAACCCAACUCCAGCCCACUUUAGUCAUCCUAUCCCACCUAAGGGGGUGAAGAAAACUGAAAAAAACCUGCAAAGUUCACAGUCCUGAGGCCCAGGUUCACUAAAGACUAAGACCAAAUGAUAGGACUAUAGACUGCUUCCCUUCCCCCGCCCCACACCUCACUACCACAGUACUAAAGUCCUAUUUACAGCAGUUUCUUUUACCCAGUACACUACGUCCAACUAUCAAGAAAAAAACUUAAAAAUGUACCAAAAGGCAAAAAAGCACAGUUUGAAGAGACAAAGUAAGCAUCAGAACCAUACACAGCAUAGAUAGAUGUUGGAAUUAUCAAACCAGGAGUUUCAAACAGUUAUGAUUAAUAUGCUAUUAGUUCUAGUGGACAAAGUAGACAGCAUGUAAAAACAGAUGGCAAUAUAAGUAGAGAUGGAAAUCCUAAGAAAGAACCUCCCUCAAAAAAAUGCUAGAGAUUAAAAAAAAAAAAAAAAAAAAAGCACCUCCCACAAUGUAACAGAAAUGAAGAAUGCCUUUGAUAGGCUUACUAGUAGAUAGGACACAGCUGAGGAAAGGAUCUCUGAGCUUGAAGAUAUAUCAGGACAAACCUUCAAAACUGAAAAGCUCUCUUUGAAAAAAGAGCAGAACAGAAUAUCCAAGGACUGUGGACAACUAGGAAAGGCUAACAAACAUGUAAUGGGGAUACUAGAAGGAGAAGAAAGAAAGGAACAGAGGAAAUAUUUGCAACAAUGAGAAUUUCCCAAAAUUAAUGUCAAACACCAAAUAACAGACUCAGCAAACUCAGAGAAAACUAGGCCAGAUGAAUGCCAAAAAAAAAAAAAAAAAAAAAAUCACUAUUCCUAGGCAUAUCAUUUUCAAGCUAAAGAAAAUCAAAGGAAAAAAAUCCUCAAAGAAGCCAAAGGAGAAAAAAUAAUAAUUUGUUGAACUAGCCUCCUUAACUAUGCUUCUUAUUCUUCAACAGUAAUGUUACUGUUUUCCAAUACACGUUUUGUUGUUUUAACCAUUCGUUUUUUAAUCUUUUAAUUUAUAUAUGAUAAAAUUGGAGUUCCCAUCGUGGCUCAGUGGUUAAUGAAUCCAACUAGGAAACAUGAGGUUGUGGGUUCGAUCCGUGGCUUUGCUCAGUGGGUUAAGGAUCCAGCAUUGCCAUGAGCAGUGGUGUAGGUUGCAGACGCAACUUGGAUCCUGCGUUGCUGUGGCUGUGGUGUAGGCCGGCAGCUACAGCUCUGAUUGGAUUCCUAGCCUGGGAUCCUCCAUAUGCCACAAGUGCGGCUCCAGAAAAAGACCAAAAGAAAAAAAAAAAUGUAUAGUAUAAUGGGUUUUGAAAAAUGCACAGAGCUGUGUACCUACCAACCGGUAUCAUAACAAAAAUAUUCCUUUGUUUUGUCCUUUUGUAAUCAACCCCUCCUCCACUUUCAGUCUCUGGCAACCACUAAUCUGUUCCUCAUCCCCUAUAGUUUUGGCUUUUUGAGAAUGUCAUAUAAAUGGAAUCAUACCAUAUUUAGCCUUUAGGGGUUCACUGAGCUUUAUGAAUAUGUAAAUGUAUGUCUUCCAUCGAACUUGGGAGUUAUCAGCCAUUAUUUCUUCAAAUUUUUUUUCUGCACAAAUCUCUUUGUCUUCUCCUCUAGGACACUUAAGACACAAAUGUUAGACCUUUGCUAUUGUCCUUCAGAUCCUUAAUCUCUGUUCAUUUCCUCUAGUCUUUCUCUCCUUAUUGUUCAGAUUGUACAACUACUAUCAUGCUUCCUUCAACUUCACUUUUCUUUCUUUCAACUUCACUUUUUUUCACAUCUUUCCAAGUGAAGAUAAUUAUCACUCUGCUGUUGAAAUCAUCUAAUGAAUUUUUACUUCCUUUUUAACAUUUAAUAUUAAUAUUGCAGUUAUUUUAAUUUUCUGUUCCCAAAUUUCAAUUUGGUCCUUUUUAUGGUUUCUUUUUCUUGGCUGAGAACUUCAAUCUUUCUAUUCAUUUCAAAAGUAUUUACAGGGGAGUUUCCUCAUGGUUCAGUGGGUUAAAGAUCUGGCAUUGUCACCACUUUGCCUCUGAUUAUAGUUGUGGCGCAGGUUCAAUACCUGGCCUGGGAAUUUCUGCAUGUUGUGGGUGUGAAAGUGUUUACAUAUUAUAAUAGCUACAAUGAGAACUUUUUAUUGUAAUUUCAACAUCAAGGUCAUCAUAGAGUUGGUGCCUGUUGAUUGCUGUUUUUCCUACACUUGGUUAUGAUUUCCUAGUCCUCAGUAUGUUAAAUACUUUUUUUUUUUUUUUUGUCUAAUUAGGCCCGUACCCAUGGCACAUGGAGAUUCCCAGGCUGGGGGCUGAAAUGGAACAACAAGCCACUGGCCUAUGCCACAGCCACAGCAACACCAGAUCUGAGCCGUGUCUGUAACUUACACCACAGCUCAGGGUAAUGCCAGAUCCUUAAUCCACUGAGCGAGGGCAAGGAUUGAACCUGAAACUCAUGGAUACAAGUCAGAUUCAUUUCUGCUGAGCCAUGGCAGGAACUCCAAUGUUAACUACUUUUGGGGGGUUUUUUGGUUUGUUUUUGUUUGUUUGUUUGUUUGUUUUGUCUUUUUGCCAUUUCUUGGGUUCUAACCACAAAUCCCAACCCACUCUCUGUGGGCUGUGAUUUCAGUAUCAUCUUCAGUUUUGCAAGACUUUUCAGGGCUCUUCCAUCUCUCCCCACGUGUGCUACCCAAGGGCAGCGGUUUAUGCUAUAGUUCAGCUCUCAAAGCCUUUAUUUUUCCUCAACUAAGUUCCCCAGAUGCUCAGAGUGAAUUUCAGGCUUCAGACACAGAUUUAGGUCAUUUCUUUCUCUAUCUCCUGCCCUUCUAUGUUCUUCCCCACAGUCUGUUUCCCACAUCCCUUUUCUCAAUCUUCUGCCUACAAUGGGUUUUCUGGUUCCCCAUUAGGUUGCAUAUUUCCUACAAUUACAUCUGUCUCAGGAGUGAAGUGGCAGCAAAAAGAAGAAAGCAAAAAAUAAUAAAUAUUCUCUCUACACUCUUUGGUACAGGGGCUCCUUUUUCCAGUUUCUCUGGUCAAAGAGGAAAGUUCUCUUUCAGAGUUUUAAAGGGCUUCAGAAUGCCACUGCCACGAGUACCGCCACAGCUGGAGGACUGCCUCAUGACUAGGGCCCGUCCGCUCUCCCACCAGAAGAAUAAAACCAAAAUACAGCAAAAGAAGAUGGUGAUUUUCUGCAGUCUCCUUUAUGCAGGGGCCCUCCCUUUGCAAUUCUCUGGCCAUACACAGAGGAAGAAGGGGAUUCUCUUAGAGCUUUU